GGGUACUCAUAGAUAUUCCCUGACUAGCUGGACCGUGGUAGUAGUGAGGAACGUGACAUUUCUGAGCUACCUUUGUAGAUCACAUCUCGUUAGCAGGAAGGAUAGGGUUUAUAGGUGCGGGUUGAACAUCCUUUGUGGUGUCUAGAUUCCGUUAGCCUCCCCAUUAGAACAGUAGAUCAUCCUUACCAAGGUUAGAAGGAGACUACGGUUGCAGUCUUCUCUAUUUAUCACUCACAUCGAAAGACAUUCUUUGUGCCUAAAGGGAUAAUAGCAAUAGAUUUGGUUAGUCAGAUGCACCCUUUCUCCCAGUGGUAAAAAUAUAAAUACGAUACUCUGGAAAACCUCCCGGGUGAAAUGCUCACCGAUAUCCGUGCGCUUGCGGAUCAUUUCCUUAUUGCGUUACCAAAUAUCAACAAGCAUUUCUGGCGCCGUUGCCGGGGAGAAAGACGGUUUGCUGAGAUAACUUUGAGUCUUGCUAUUAUCUUGUAUUAUACUUUUAUACUUUUAUUCUUUUAUUCUUUUAUCUUUUUAUUUUUAUCUUUAUGGAUAACUCAAAUUCCAUACCUAUUAUUAAAUUCUUUGCACCUUCGGAGACCAGCCAUAGACCAUGGGAGUCAACACGUCCUGCCCCUAAUUAUGAUCCGUGUCCGGAGUUGAUUGCAAUAGGUCAAAACCAAACCUUUUCUAUAGCUGAGGUCCUAUCUUUUAAUCAAAAAGAUAAUGCACUUUUAGCUACACCUAGGGAAUCUUUUAAUCUUUCUAUAAAUUCUGGUUUAGACCUAGCCCUACAAGACCAUGUUUUUCCUAGAUAUUUUCACAUUGGUCUUAAUCAUAUAAUCCUUGGUAGAGUCUUUCUUUCUUUAUCAGUUAGUAACGGAAGGU
This 882-nucleotide long non-coding RNA is filed under the name Sorghum bicolor (sorghum). RNAcentral describes it as "long non-coding RNA (SBIC_LNC002801)". The record is from RNAcentral. Lineage: Eukaryota; Viridiplantae; Streptophyta; Magnoliopsida; Poales; Poaceae.